Molecule: ribosomal RNA, 253 nt
Filed under: uncultured bacterium
Lineage: Bacteria
Description: partial 16S ribosomal RNA
Rfam family: Bacterial small subunit ribosomal RNA
Source: RNAcentral
UACGGAGGGCGCAAGCGUUGUUCGGAAUCACUGGGCGUAAAGCGCGUGUAGGCGGCCCUGCAAGUCGGGUGUGAAAUCCCGAGGCUCAACCUCGGAACUGCACUCGAAACUGCUUGGCUCGAGUCCCGGAGAGGGUGGCGGAAUUCCCGGUGUAGGGGUGAAAUCCGUAGAUAUCGGGAGGAACACCAGUGGCGAAGGCGGCCACCUGGACGGUGACUGACGCUGAGACGCGACAGCGUGGGGAGCUAACAGG